Long non-coding RNA from Vespa velutina, 2621 nucleotides. RefSeq lists it as uncharacterized. Lineage: Eukaryota; Metazoa; Arthropoda; Insecta; Hymenoptera; Vespidae. The record is from RefSeq and is a predicted model, not a curated record. The transcript has 4 exons.
AGAGAAUCGUUCUAUUCUUCAUUUAUUUUACUAUGUUUAGAUUGUCGAAUAAUUUAUUUCCUUCCUGACUUUUUUCUCUUAAAGUAGUAAUUUUCAGGAAAACAUAUUCACAUAAACAUUUAAUAACGAGAUACAUUUGAAUAGGAAAAAAAAUAUUUAUCGAAAACGAAUGAUUCCUUUGACGCGUCCUAUAUCCGCCAUGCAAAGACUUUCUUCCCUCCAGCUUCUUUGCUUUCCGUCUCGCGCAUCGUCUCGUUUUCUUGGCCUCAACGACCGGAAAGGCGGACCUUCUCGACGCAUUCCAGAAAGAUGACGUGGCCGAAGUACUUGAGAAAACGUGCUUGAUCGUACGUUUCUCUAAAUGUGAGUCCUUCCCUUUUCCCUCUCACUCUCUCUUUCAUCAAGUGAUUAGAUAUAAUUGUAUUAUUGAAUUAUCACCGACGAAUAAGAUCUAUUGGUUUGACUAUAAAGUAUAACGCAUGAGAAAAAGAGAGAGAAAUAAAUAUUUUAAAUGUACAGUUGGAAACGUCUACGGAAUUUACGCUUUUAUAGACCGUUUUCAUUUCCCACGAUACAAUGAAACACGACGGAUAAACGAGAAGCGGACGAACGAAUUACUGACUCGUACUGUAAACUUGAUUCCGGACAUACGUACGAGAAAAGAACGGUAGUAGGGAAAAGAGAAGGAAAAAAGAAGGCUCAAUAUAUAACAGGCGGUAAAAACAAACGAAGAGAUAGAAGGAAAGAAAAAAGAAACAAAAAAAGAAAGAGAAAAAGAGAAAGAGAGAGAGAGAGAGAGAGAGAAAGAUAGAAACGGAAAGAACAAAGCAGAGAAAAUUCAUAUACGAUUCCGCUAUUGUGUGGAUCGCUUCUCCUCGUUCCCUUGUCGUAAUUACUGUUAGCCUUCCAUUCAAUUGCGAGCAUUAAAGCUAGUCAUGCCUAACAGUACGGCGUCUGGGAAUCUCGUGUGAUGCGUGUCAAAAGAUAGAAAAGAGAGAGAGAGAGAGAGAGAAUAUUGGAACAAAUACCAGAAGUUUUUUUGCGAACGAAUUUGCACCGCUGAUAGUUGUCGAACAUUAACUGCUUACUACAUGCGACGCGUCACUUAUACCGAUAAAAGAUACAGAGAACCGUUUUUUCAAAAAAUAAUAAAAAAAAAAAAAAAAAAAAAAAAAAGAAAAUGGUAAGAUAGCGUGUAGUAUGACGUACCACUUCCAGAUUUAGACUCUUUCUAUUGUACGAUGUUCAAAGAAAGGUUGCGAGUAAGUCAGAAGAUCGUCGACACUUUUAUUGCAAGCAGUAUCCACGAUCUCAAAAGAAAAAUAUUUAUUUAUUCUUGUCGUCGAUGACUGUGCUCGUUGGUUUCUUCGUAUUAAAUAAUAAUCAUGAUUAAUAAGUACAUAAUAUUAAUUUUGUGUCUGCAUGAUCGUAGAAUAAAUGGUGUGAUCGUGGUAACACAAAGAAAGUCUAAAGUUCUAAUUCCAAAGUCACAACUUUAUUCUAAUCGCGUCCGUAUUGAGCGAAUGAAUAAACAAAGUGAAACCUCCCGACACUCCAGAGAUUCAUAGUCGCACAUUUACAAGAGAGAGCUCGUCGUUGAUCGAACGACGCGAUCGUGUGUAACUGUAGCCGAUGGAGAGUAUACAUCGCAUUCGACUCCAAUUGCAAGAGAAGCAAGGUGUAACCUUCCUUCCACCAACCACUAAAAUUCCAUCCCAAGGUGACGUUUUUUGCAUACCUUUUGCUCUACCCGACGAAUCGUACUUACGAUGAAAAUUAUCCGAACAAAAAAAAAGAAAAUAGAAGUUGAAACAAUGACGUUAGCCAGGAAGCAUACAAGGUUCUGCACUUCGAACGAAUGGAUUGACAUUUUUAAAAUUAUACUAAAGGAACGUGCCCAAUUGUUAAGCGAUCCUUUAUGGCGUCGAAUAUGACGUUAAAAUACGUGUAUCUAGCAACGUAUCGACCGGAGAAUUAAAAUCCAAUUGCGAAUAAUCGAUUCAAACAAAGCUUUUUCUGAGAUCUUAAAAACGAAGGGACAAGUUUCACACGUCGUUAAUGACCAAUAUAAAUCGCAGGUAGGUACGCUAUAGCGAGUGGAAAAUUCAAGCGUCGCAAAAGCGACGCUUGCAUUUCAAACCGGUUUGAAAUAACAUACCGAAACCACAAUAUUUUUGAGCAUACCACAUGAGAACAGAGAACUCGCGUUAAAAGCAAGAACAUAAACCGGAUCCAUGCUACAAUAUUCAAUUUUUGUGACUAGAAAAUGCAAAUGAUAAAAAGGCAAAACGUUGCCUGUUAGACUCUCUAUCUAGCUGAAUGAUCUACAAUUAAUAAUCUAUGCCGAAUAAUGAAAGGAUAAAUAAUGAUCGACGAAUAUAAUAUAAAUUGCAUGCGUUCAUUCACUAUCUCUCAAUCGUCGAAACGUUAACGAAGCGAUUUCAAAAAUUAAUUACAUGAUGAAUCCACACGAGGAAUAUAUAAAAAGAGAAAACAAGAAAAGAAAGUAUAUGUUCUCUCAAAUCUUAUAUAGGAAUAAAUACGCAUUUUUAUUAAAAUACUAGAAUUUAUUGGAGUGAGAGCGAGUGAGAAUAAUAAAGAAAAUGACAAAAAUAAGUAUC